CCUACGGGAGGCAGCAGUGAGGAAUAUUGGUCAAUGGGCGAGAGCCUGAACCAGCCAAGUCGCGUGAGGGAAGACGGUCCUAUGGAUUGUAAACCUCUUUUGCCGGGGAGCAAAACGCGGUACGUGUACCGCCUCGAGCGUACCCGGAGAACAAGCAUCGGCUAACUCCGUGCCAGCAGCCGCGGGACUACGGAGGAUGCGAGCGUUAUCCGGAUGUAUUGGGUUUAAAGGGUGCGCAGGCGGCGAGUUCAGUCAGCGGUAAAAUUUCGGGGCUCAACCCCGACAAGCCGUUGAACCGGGCGGGCUAGAGUGGGCGAGAAGUAUGCGGAAUGCGUGGUGUAGCGGUGAAAUGCAUAG
RNAcentral lists this ribosomal RNA (357 nucleotides) under uncultured bacterium. Its description in RNAcentral is "partial 16S ribosomal RNA". It matches the Rfam family "Bacterial small subunit ribosomal RNA", at positions 338 to 693 of the family's 1533-position model. The record is from RNAcentral.